GUGCCAUCGAAGAGUGGUGGUCGAUUAAUGUUACCGCCUUCGGCCAUGACAAUAAUUUAUCUAGAUCCGGCUCUGAUACUAAUUGAAAGUUUAGGGGUACCCAAGUGUUACGUCUCGCUAUCGCCAAUUUGGUCGAUCCAGGCCCGUACACAGAGGCCGAACGAACAGAACCUCCUCUGUCCGCCCAAGACUCAACAACAACGAGUACAUGUAUAAAGAAAUAAACAAUUCCCAGGAUAACAUUUCAAUAUACAUGGCUUGCACGAGGGCAAGCAACAACCACAAGUGAUAGCAAGCGAAUUAAACAUGAAAUUCACUGUAAUUUAAAACUUUCAAACUAAACUGUAUAACCGAAAUAUUUAGUUAUUUACAUACUUUAUAAUACAUUCAUUUACAUGUCUCUGUACAUCAAAAUGUCUCACAUGAUCUCAAAAUGGUAAACUACUAUACUCUGGUGUCAGCUAGCUAAGCUGCGGGGCUCUUGCCACGAUCCUCGGCCACACCGCUCGCACUGGAACCUGUAUGGUUAGUGGUAUGAGAACUACUGAAAGUUCCCAGUGGGUUCGACCGCCGAAUUCGCCGACUCACCCACUAGGUCUACUCAGGCAUAUGUAGGCAAGAAAGUAAACAGAUAGUAACCAACUAUAACAUGUAACUACUACAAUGCCUGUACAAAGCUGAAAGAACAAUAUAUAAAACUGUAAAUAUGCAUGCAUGCUUUACUGAAUUUACCCAGUCCAUUAGUUAACCCUUUGGUUAACAACAACUCACUGACACUAUCCCAAAUAUUGGGGAGACGCAACCUGCACCCGACGGGACUGUCAACUGGGGGAGACGCACCUCCUGGUCCAGUAAAGAUGACUACUCCGGAGCUCAUCGUUCAAGGAGGAGCGACCUACCUUGAACCAAACGACUGUGAGUAUGAUCUGAUCCUCCUUUAGGGGAUUCAACAAUAGACGAUGUCACACUUAACUCUAGCUAGCUCUUUAUGCUAGUUUCACAAUUCCAUUUCUCGAUGCUAAUCCAAUCUCUAAUUAGAAUGUCACCAAGUUUACUAUUGUUAUAGUCCAUGCAUUCAUAGGGUUCUAUGUUCACAUUCUAUUGUUCAUAUAUUCUCAUGGUUGAUAAGCAUUUGCAUAAUCAAAUAUCAUUUACAUAAUAUCAAUACCCUAUAAUGCAUGAUUACAAUGUAAAUAUGCUCAAUGAAUUAGCAUAGACAUAAAAGGUGAUUCAAAGAUUUCGGAUAGCACCACCCACCUGAAGUGGUGUCAAUCAACUAAGAUCAAUGUCUCGGAAUGCGUCGACAACUAUCUCUCGCGACUCAAAGCAAAUAGCACUAGAACGGCCUCUACCGUAAUUAGCGUGUCGCCGACCUGUCGGAAUGUCACUUUAGACUUUCGAGCAUAUUUAACUUUCAUUUGUAAAGAUUUAAAAGAGGUUAAACUAGAGUUACAUUCACAUUUUAACAAAACUUGCAUUUCAACUUCAAUCUGCUUAUGUGUCAAGGUACAUGUAAAUCAGCAUACAUGUAUACAUGUAAUUGCUAAUACUCCGGCC
RNAcentral lists this long non-coding RNA (1557 nucleotides) under Ananas comosus (pineapple). RNAcentral's name for it is "long non-coding RNA (ACOM_LNC021104)". Lineage: Eukaryota; Viridiplantae; Streptophyta; Magnoliopsida; Poales; Bromeliaceae. The record is from RNAcentral.